Molecule: ribosomal RNA, 1030 nt
Filed under: Chiasmocleis tridactyla
Lineage: Eukaryota; Metazoa; Chordata; Amphibia; Anura; Microhylidae
Description: Syncope tridactyla partial 16S ribosomal RNA
Rfam family: Bacterial large subunit ribosomal RNA
Source: RNAcentral
GCUCAAGAAAAGGAUCUGAGUCCUUCCCUAAGCCUUCUAAUAACAAAUACUAUUCUUCUAGGCUUAAGAGACAUUCAAAUAAGGGACAGCCUAUUUGAAACAGGAAACAACCUCGAAUAUAGGGUAACUUUACUCUCCGGUGACAAGUGGGCCUAAGAGCAGCCACCUUCUAAAAAGCGUUAUAGCUUGCCACNNCCCCUCACAAUAAUCCCAAAAACAACACCAAACCCUCAAACAAUAUUGAGUGACUCUAUACACAUAUAGAAAACCCAAUGCUAAAACUAGUAACUGGAAGAAAUUCUUCUCCAAAAUGUAAACAUAAGCCNNNNACACGGCAUCCACCGCUAUGAGCUAAGAGUACGCAACACCCAAGAAAAGCCUACUACACCACAGCGUUAAUCUAACCCCAGGACAUUUCAGGAAAGAUUAAAUAAAGAGGAAGGAACUCGGCAAACCACUAACCCCGCCUGUUUACCAAAAACACCGCCUUUUGAAAAAAUAUAAGAGGUCCAGCCUGCCCAGUGACAAAGUUAAACGGCCGCGGUACCCUAACCGUGCAAAGGUAGCACAAUCACUUGUUCUUUAAAUGAGGACUAGUAUGAACGGCAUCACGAGGAUUAUGCUGUCUCCCCCCUUUAAUCAGUGAAACUGAUCCCCCCGUGAAGAAGCGGGGAUAAACUUAUAAGACGAGAAGACCCUGUGGAGCUUUAAACUUAUACCACCCACUUCAAAACAUAUCAUAACAAACAAAUGGGCNUGUGUACUAGUUUUAGGUUGGGGCGACCGCGGAGUAAAACGAAACCUCCACGAUGAAAGACUUUACUUUCUAAUCCGAGAGCAACACCUCAAAGAAUCAACAAACUGACAUAAUUGACCCAAAUNCUUUGAUCAACGAACCAAGUUACCCCAGGGAUAACAGCGCAAUCCAUUUCAAGAGCUCAUAUCGACAAAUGGGUUUACGACCUCGAUGUUGGAUCAGGGUAUCCCAGUGGUGCAGCCGCUACUAAAGGUUCGUUUGUUCAACGAUUAA